Non-coding RNA from Camellia sinensis, 417 nucleotides. Lineage: Eukaryota; Viridiplantae; Streptophyta; Magnoliopsida; Ericales; Theaceae. The record is from RefSeq and is a predicted model, not a curated record.
CCCAAGUCAGUAAUUGAUAUAAAACUCAUACAUGCUGGCAAAGUUUUGGAGAAUGGCAAGACGCUGGCAAAAUCCAGAGUACAUUUUGGUGACCUUCCUGGUGGCGUUAGUACUAUGCAUGUUGUGGUGCAGCCUCCUGUCCCAAAAAAGAAGACAGACAAGAACCAGGAGAAGAAUCAUAAGCAGAAUUCAUGCUCAUGCGCUAUCCUUUGAAUUGGGAAAGCAUGCUUUGUGGCUGUUGUGCAGACAGGACAACGUUUCACAUUUUUGACCUUCCUUUUAUAUUGUCAUUGCUGUGUAACAUUCUAAAUGGCAUCUAUGAUUUAGCAGGUUACAUUACAUGUGAUAUUGCUUCUGCAAUUGUUAACGUUGUAUUCUUUUUUCUAUACGUAAGAUCAAAAUUUCUACCAUUCAGUA